UUAUUUUGGUUCACAGUUUGUAGAAGUUUCCAUAGUCAUCUGGCUCCAAGGCAGGGCAGCAUGCCAUAGGAUAAACAGCUUAUGGCAUGGUGGCAGAAAGAGAGACUGAUCAAAGGAGGAGAGGAGAUAUCUCUUUCCGGGACAUCCCCUCAUCCACCCAUGUCCUCCCAUCAGAUUUCACCUCACAACAUCACAUUUAACCAUAAACUCAUCAGUGGACUAAUCCACUGAUAAAUACAUGCCCUGAUGAUCCAAUCACAUCCCAAAGGCCCCAUCUACCAUCUCAUGAGGCUUUGGAGAGACAUCUAGAUAUCAACCAUAACACCAUCCUGUUUUGUUUAACCUUUCUUACUAUUUUGUCUUUAUCUAAUUUUCCUUAACAAUUUUUGUACUAUUUUAUGUUUUGCAAAGCAUCUGAAAUUAUUUCUGACAGAAGACAUAGAAAAGGUAGGUAGGUAGGUAGGUAGAUAGAUAGAUAGACAGAUAGAUAGAUAGAUAGAUAGAUAGAUGAUAGAUGAUAGAUAGGCCAGAUCUCUACACAACUAGUUCAAAUGCUAUCAUAUUAAUUGACAGAGUACAGAAGCAUUUGUUGGAAAAAAAAUCUCAGUAAUCAACAAUUACAUAUUAAACCAGUAGAAAGUUUUCAGAGAGCAUUCCACUAUACCUUCCUAGUAAAGGCAGAUGGAGACUCCUUAGAUUGCACAGAGCUGGCCAGAGCUGAUGAGAACCACAGUACAAACUACCCAUGAGUAUAAAAGAGACAGGGAGAAAAGUGUUGAAAGAUUUCCUUUUUAUAACUGUUGUUAAAAAGCUAAAAUUCUCACUCUGCUAAAUGGAGUAUUAUGGUCAAAUACCUUCAAAAUGAAAAAUUAGUCAACUUGACAAAAAAUCAACUAUCAUGUGGGUGUUCUGAUAAGGGUAGUUCGGGAAGGGAAAACCAAAUCUGUAGUGGGUAUUUCUACUCACUUCAAUUUCUUCUCAUAUAGCAUUAUUUCUCAGCAAAUCUGUAUCCUCAAUAAGUUUCCUUUUUAUAUAUUUUCGUUGAUUUGCAUUGGUUUUAUCAGCCUAAUGCAGUUACAUUUGCCUUUCCUGUUAGUUUUCUGAGAUCUUGGCACCUAAACUUUUCCAGACUCACUUGCUGAUGACUAUCUAGAGUUCAGGAUCAAUGGCUUUCAAUGGUUCUUACAUGAGUUAAUAGAAACACCAAUUAAAGACUGGUAAUGGAAUAGCACACUAGCCUGUGGAUCUCAAAGCAAUUUACCAAGAAUCAUUAUAUGAUCUUAUAAUGUCUAGUACAAGUGAUUCUGUCUGCAUUUGCUUGUGGCACUGUGAAACCCAAGGCCCAUUUCUCUUACUGUGCUAUGCCUGAACAGGCUGAUGAUAACCCUGGGAACUCUUCAGAAAUCAGUGGGGAAGCUGGUGGAAACUCUGCACUGCAGGGGGUUAGAGGUUAAGCCUGCUGUUCAGUUGUCCCACAUGGAAUCACACAGCAGAUUGGUUACUUCCACAGUGUAGCUCCUUAUGGUUGAACUAACAGGUAUCUUUUUAGGUCCAACCAGUGUUUUGCAUGUUGGAGCUACUGACCCAAUCUUCCAUUCAGAUUUGACUCUACUGCCAGGUGGAGACUUCAGGAAGGCACGGAGAAUUUCCCCUACUGAUACAGGGAAAUAAAGACUUCCUUCUCCCGAGCACAAAGGACCUCAAGGAAUUGAUGGAUUAAAGACAAUGAACAUUUUAAAGAUCUUUGAUAUGCACUUCUUAAUUCACCCCACACACACCAAAGACAAUACCAACAUAUUGCUCAUCAGUAGAACAUUAGAAUUUCCAAAGUAUCCUUUUGUCAUUUUUUUUCUCCACUCAAGUUUGCUCUUAAGGUUCAUUUAAUCUUAUUUUUCCUGGAUGUAAAUAUUCCCAAGGGUAGAAUGAGGUAUUUAAAAUAUAGCAUGAUUUCCAACAAAGGCCCCUAACCCUAAAGCACUGGUGGUGUGGUGGUGGUGGUGGUGGCAGAAAUGAUGAGUGAUCUAUACUUUCCCUUCCCAAAUAAAAAGAGCCCCACCCCUUGA
Non-coding RNA from Heterocephalus glaber (naked mole-rat), 2063 nucleotides. NCBI's taxonomy places the organism in Eukaryota, Metazoa, Chordata, Mammalia, Rodentia, Bathyergidae. The record is from RefSeq and is a predicted model, not a curated record.